AUUGAACGCUGGCGGCAGGCUUAACACAUGCAAGUCGAGCGAGCGGCGGACGGGUGAGUAAUGUCUGGGAAACUGCCUGAUGGAGGGGGAUAACUACUGAAAACGGUAGCUAAUACCGCAUCCCAUCAGAUGUGCCCAGAUGGGAUUGGCUAGUAGGGGGGGUAAUGGCUCACCUAGGCGACGAUCCCUCGCUGGUCUGAGAGGAUGACCAGCCACACUGGAACUGAGACACGGUCCAGACUCCUACGGGAGGCAGCAGUGGGGAAUAUUGCACAAUGGGCGCAAGCCUGAUGCAGCCAUGCCGCGUGUGUGAAGAAGGCCUUCGGGUUGUAAAGUACUUUCAGGGGGGAGGCGUUACCCACAGAAGAAGCACCGGCUAACUCCGUGCCAGCAGCCGCGGUAAUAC
This 406-nucleotide ribosomal RNA is filed under the name uncultured bacterium. RNAcentral's name for it is "partial 16S ribosomal RNA". It matches the Rfam family "Bacterial small subunit ribosomal RNA", at positions 30 to 526 of the family's 1533-position model. The record is from RNAcentral.